This 265-nucleotide unclassified non-coding RNA is filed under the name Ascomycota sp. RNAcentral describes it as "partial contains small subunit ribosomal RNA, internal transcribed spacer 1, and 5.8S ribosomal RNA". The stretch from base 1 to 47 matches the Rfam family "Eukaryotic small subunit ribosomal RNA", at positions 1785 to 1831 of the family's 1831-position model. Lineage: Eukaryota; Fungi; Ascomycota. The record is from RNAcentral.
AAAGUCGUAACAAGGUCUCCGUUGGUGAACCAGCGGAGGGAUCAUUACAAAAAACAUACUCGCUCUCCAGAGCCUGUAAACCCAAACCCACUGUGAACAUACCAAGCGUUGCUUCGGCGGGCGGCCCCCGGGGGGGGCCCGAGGCCUGUGGUGCCCGCCGACAGUAUCGAGAAACUCUUCUGAAUUCUAGCGGAAUCAUCUUUCUGAGUGCAAAUAUUUUUGUGGGAACGAGUCAAAACUUUCAACAACGGAUCUCUUGGUUCUG